ACUUACUGAACGUUUAACACGCUUUGUGGACUAAUCUCAUGUGUU
This 45-nucleotide ribosomal RNA is filed under the name Globorotalia inflata. RNAcentral describes it as "partial 5.8S ribosomal RNA". Lineage: Eukaryota; Foraminifera; Rotaliida; Globorotaliidae. The record is from RNAcentral.